Molecule: non-coding RNA, 943 nt
Organism: Prunus avium (sweet cherry)
Lineage: Eukaryota; Viridiplantae; Streptophyta; Magnoliopsida; Rosales; Rosaceae
Source: RefSeq, a predicted model, not a curated record
UUUGGUGCUUUUUAUUUUCCUUCACUUCUCUCUCUAGCCACCUUCCCUAAGCAUAAAAACUACAUUGAUGAAAUGAAACUAGAGACAACAUUUGGGCUAUAAAUAAUUAAAACUCAUUGAGUGUCGGAUAUGGACAUAGAUUGUAAAUAAUGAGUAAUACAUGGCCAAAAAUUAAUCCUACAUGGGAUUCGCUCGAUUUUUUUUUGGGCUGCAGUUGUAGUAAGUACAUGAAUUUGUGUCUACACUAUUUGAUUUGCAAGAAAUUAGUUUAGAUUAUUUUAAAUGUUUUCUGAGACUUUGGCAUGCAUACCAGGAAAUAUACCAAGUAAAAUUGGGAACUUAACAAUGCUGGAGGAGAUAUACCUGAGCUACAACAAAUUCACCGAAAUUCCAAACGAGAUCGGAUUUUUAGAUCAGGUGGAGCAUUUGUUCGUUCAGGUGAACGCCCUAAAAGGGCAUGUUCCUGCCAGUGUCUUCAACAUGUCCUCUUUGACUAUUUAGACUCUAUAUGAAAACAGUUUGAGUGGUGGUCUUCCAGAUAAUAUAUGCCAGCAUCUUCCUAAUCUUCAGGAAGCUAAUUUUGGCCGCAACCAGUUUGAUGGUCCACUUCCAUCCAAAUUAUGGCAUUGCAAACAUCUUCUUUCAUUAGCAUUGUCUAGAAACAAUUUCAGUGGAAGCAUACCCAAAUAUAUUGGCAACUUAACCCAAUUAACAACGAUUUAUCUGGAAGACAACAAUUUGACAGGUAAUUGAUAUUUCAUUAUGUUGUUCCAACUAUAUCUUUUUGUUUGGCAUCAUUUAUCAUUAUUUAACUAUUUUGUACAAGGUCAACAGAUAAAAAAGAGAACGAAAACCCCUUCAGCCCUGUUCACUUCUCUUGGGCUACAAAUUGUAUAGAAUAAAAUAGAUUGAAUUGCAUAAUAAACGUUAACAUUGUAUAGAA